UUACCUGGGCUUGACAUCCCGGGAAGUCUCUGGAAACAGAGAUGUGCCCUUCGGGGAACCCGGAGACAGGUGCUGCAUGGCUGUCGUCAGCUCGUGUCGUGAGAUGUUGGGUUAAGUCCCGCAACGAGCGCAACCCUUGCCCUUAGUUGCUACCAUUUAGUUGAGCACUCUAAGGGGACUGCCGGUGUUAAACCGGAGGAAGGUGGGGAUGACGUCAAGUCCUCAUGGCCUUUAUGCCCAGGGCUACACACGUGCUACAAUGGACGGUACAAUGGGAAGCAAUCUCGCGAGAGGGAGCAAAUCCUAAAAGCCGUUCCCAGUUCGGAUUGGAGUCUGCAACUCGACUCCAUGAAGUCGGAAUCGCUAGUAAUCGUGGAUCAGCAUGCCACGGUGAAUACGUUCCCGGGCCUUGUACACACCGCCCGUCACACCACGAAAGUCGGUUGUACCAGAAGUCGUCGGGCUAACCUUCGGGAGGUAGGCGCCUAAGGUAUGGCCGGUGAUUGGGGUGAAGUCGUAACAAGGUAGCC
Molecule: ribosomal RNA, 530 nt
Filed under: uncultured bacterium
Lineage: Bacteria
Description: bacterial SSU rRNA
Rfam family: Bacterial small subunit ribosomal RNA
Source: RNAcentral